This 64-nucleotide microRNA precursor is filed under the name Panagrellus redivivus. RNAcentral's name for it is "microRNA prd-mir-7931 precursor". The record is from miRBase by way of RNAcentral. Lineage: Eukaryota; Metazoa; Nematoda; Chromadorea; Rhabditida; Panagrolaimidae.
GGGGGCAGGGGAAGACAGAAAAAAGCGGGUGCCAUAUCGAUUUCCUGAGCCUCCUCUGUCCCCG